This 64-nucleotide transfer RNA is filed under the name Chryseobacterium limigenitum. Its description in RNAcentral is "tRNA_Ser_AGA". It matches the Rfam family "tRNA". From Rfam's summary of the family: Transfer RNA (tRNA) molecules are approximately 80 nucleotides in length. Their secondary structure includes four short double-helical elements and three loops (D, anti-codon, and T loops). The record is from RNAcentral. Lineage: Bacteria; Pseudomonadati; Bacteroidota; Flavobacteriia; Flavobacteriales; Weeksellaceae.
GGGAAUAUAGUUCAAUGGGUAGAACAAUAGAUUUUUAGCACAGGUUCGAAUCCUGUCUUCACUU